GGGCAUUUGGCACAGUUGGUAGCGCGCUCGCUUCGCAUUGCGUAACUGCGUGAGGUCGAGGGUUCGAAUCCCUCAAUGUCCA
This is a non-coding RNA of Trametopsis cervina, 82 nucleotides long. The record is from the annotation of a GenBank genome assembly. Lineage: Eukaryota; Fungi; Basidiomycota; Agaricomycetes; Polyporales; Irpicaceae.